This is a long non-coding RNA of Mustela lutreola (European mink), 1111 nucleotides long. RefSeq lists it as uncharacterized. The transcript is spliced from 2 exons. NCBI's taxonomy places the organism in Eukaryota, Metazoa, Chordata, Mammalia, Carnivora, Mustelidae. The record is from RefSeq and is a predicted model, not a curated record.
GGGAAGCGGGUGGGGGGCGGGAGCGGGGAGUAGGGCACAGCGAGGGCGGGCCUUGGAGGAGGGCCUGGAGUCCCGCGGCCGGCCUCGCUGACUCCCUCCAGGCCCCGGAGGCCUUGCUCAGGACCAAGCUGACGCGCUAAACCUGUGCAGCAGCCUCCAAAAGAGUCUUGCCUGCCGGCUCUGGCCGCAGCCCCUCCCAGGCCCCCCUGAAGGACUGGGCCGUCGGAGGCUUUCGAAGCGGCCAGAAGGGGACAGUGCCAUCGCGUGGAAGUGGCGGGAAUCGCUGCUGGUCCUUGAGAAACCCAGUGGGUUUGGGGAAAGGGACUGACUUCUCUUGCGGGUUCAUCCAAGUCACACCCUGAGUGCCCCCCGCAGGCCGGCGCUGGCCUGGGGCUGCAGAGAUGAAAGGCCCUAUCUGUUCAGUCUAGUAGAGGGGAGGGCGACGCCGAAGCGGUGGCUUCGGGCCAAGGAGUAAGCUGGUGGGAGCCCUCAGGAAGCAUCAGGCAGCUGAUAGGAGGCCCUUCCACCACCACCGUCUUUACGAACAUGAAUCAUGUCCAGGCACAGGGGCACAGCCAAACAAGAGGGAAUCCAGGCCCUUGCGGAACUUAUGGCCGUAAACAGACUUUCAAAAAGACCUUCCUUUAGAAUGACCAACUUACCAUUCCCAUCUUGGAGUUUGCAGAGCACUAUUAGUGUCCUGAGAGAGUGCUCAGCAGAAGUGGGAGACCAGAGAUCCGUCUGCCACAGAUCCUCCAACCCUCUGAGGCCCAGAGCUUCGGGCCCGAUGCCAUGCAAAUGGGAGAAGCUCAGACAUCAGGGAAACUCCACUGGUGGCCCAGGCCAUUUGGGGAAGAAUACAGAGUGAGGCCAGGGUACUGCUUCCCACCCUCCCACCGCACAGCUUCCAGGCAGGCACCUCCAUCCAUGACUCCCUUUUGCAGGCCAUCCUUGUUGUCUGAAGUCAAGAGCAACUCCACAAUACCUCGGUCCUCCAAGGCCUGUGGGGGAAAAGAAAACAAGUCAACAUGUCGUUCCUCAGAGUUGGGAAGAGACAGUUAGAAAAGAAAGAAGGAAAGUUUCAAAAUAAAGUAUUUACUUCACCACAGAA